Molecule: ribosomal RNA, 2044 nt
Filed under: Escherichia coli
Lineage: Bacteria; Pseudomonadati; Pseudomonadota; Gammaproteobacteria; Enterobacterales; Enterobacteriaceae
Description: partial 23S ribosomal RNA
Rfam family: Bacterial large subunit ribosomal RNA
Source: RNAcentral
AUAAUGGGUCAGCGACUUAUAUUCUGUAGCAAGGUUAACCGAAUAGGGGAGCCGAAGGGAAACCGAGUCUUAACUGGGCGUUAAGUUGCAGGGUAUAGACCCGAAACCCGGUGAUCUAGCCAUGGGCAGGUUGAAGGUUGGGUAACACUAACUGGAGGACCGAACCGACUAAUGUUGAAAAAUUAGCGGAUGACUUGUGGCUGGGGGUGAAAGGCCAAUCAAACCGGGAGAUAGCUGGUUCUCCCCGAAAGCUAUUUAGGUAGCGCCUCGUGAAUUCAUCUCCGGGGGUAGAGCACUGUUUCGGCAAGGGGGUCAUCCCGACUUACCAACCCGAUGCAAACUGCGAAUACCGGAGAAUGUUAUCACGGGAGACACACGGCGGGUGCUAACGUCCGUCGUGAAGAGGGAAACAACCCAGACCGCCAGCUAAGGUCCCAAAGUCAUGGUUAAGUGGGAAACGAUGUGGGAAGGCCCAGACAGCCAGGAUGUUGGCUUAGAAGCAGCCAUCAUUUAAAGAAAGCGUAAUAGCUCACUGGUCGAGUCGGCCUGCGCGGAAGAUGUAACGGGGCUAAACCAUGCACCGAAGCUGCGGCAGCGACGCUGAUGCGUUGUUGGGUAGGGGAGCGUUCUGUAAGCCUGUGAAGGUGUGCUGUGAGGCAUGCUGGAGGUAUCAGAAGUGCGAAUGCUGACAUAAGUAACGAUAAAGCGGGUGAAAAGCCCGCUCGCCGGAAGACCAAGGGUUCCUGUCCAACGUUAAUCGGGGCAGGGUGAGUCGACCCCUAAGGCGAGGCCGAAAGGCGUAGUCGAUGGGAAACAGGUUAAUAUUCCUGUACUUGGUGUUACUGCGAAGGGGGGACGGAGAAGGCUAUGUUGGCCGGGCGACGGUUGUCCCGGUUUAAGCGUGUAGGCUGGUUUUCCAGGCAAAUCCGGAAAAUCAAGGCUGAGGCGUGAUGACGAGGCACUACGGUGCUGAAGCAACAAAUGCCCUGCUUCCAGGAAAAGCCUCUAAGCAUCAGGUAACAUCAAAUCGUACCCCAAACCGACACAGGUGGUCAGGUAGAGAAUACCAAGGCGCUUGAGAGAACUCGGGUGAAGGAACUAGGCAAAAUGGUGCCGUAACUUCGGGAGAAGGCACGCUGAUAUGUAGGUGAAGUCCCUCGCGGAUGGAGCUGAAAUCAGUCGAAGAUACCAGCUGGCUGCAACUGUUUAUUAAAAACACAGCACUGUGCAAACACGAAAGUGGACGUAUACGGUGUGACGCCUGCCCGGUGCCGGAAGGUUAAUUGAUGGGGUCAGCGCAAGCGAAGCUCUUGAUCGAAGCCCCGGUAAACGGCGGCCGUAACUAUAACGGUCCUAAGGUAGCGAAAUUCCUUGUCGGGUAAGUUCCGACCUGCACGAAUGGCGUAAUGAUGGCCAGGCUGUCUCCACCCGAGACUCAGUGAAAUUGAACUCGCUGUGAAGAUGCAGUGUACCCGCGGCAAGACGGAAAGACCCCGUGAACCUUUACUAUAGCUUGACACUGAACAUUGAGCCUUGAUGUGUAGGAUAGGUGGGAGGCUUUGAAGUGUGGACGCCAGUCUGCAUGGAGCCGGCCUUGAAAUACCACCCUUUAAUGUUUGAUGUUCUAACGUUGACCCGUGAUCCGGGUUGCGGACAGUGUCUGGUGGGUAGUUUGACUGGGGCGGUCUCCUCCUAAAGAGUAACGGAGGAGCACGAAGGUUGGCUAAUCCUGGUCGGACAUCAGGAGGUUAGUGCAAUGGCAUAAGCCAGCUUGACUGCGAGCGUGACGGCGCGAGCAGGUGCGAAAGCAGGUCAUAGUGAUCCGGUGGUUCUGAAUGGAAGGGCCAUCGCUCAACGGAUAAAAGGUACUCCGGGGAUAACAGGCUGAUACCGCCCAAGAGUUCAUAUCGACGGCGGUGUUUGGCACCUCGAUGUCGGCUCAUCACAUCCUGGGGCUGAAGUAGGUCCCAAGGGUAUGGCUGUUCGCCAUUUAAAGUGGUACGCGAGCUGGGUUUAGAACGUCGUGAGACAGUUCGGUCCCUAU